UACGUAGGGUGCAAGCGUUGUCCGGAAUUAUUGGGCGUAAAGAGCUUGUAGGCGGUUUGUCGCGUCUGCUGUGAAAUUUCGGGGCUCAACCCCGAACUUGCAGUGGGUACGGGCAGACUAGAGUGUGGUAGGGGAGACUGGAAUUCCCGGUGUAGCAGUGAAAUGCGUAGAGAUCGGGAGGAACAUCAGUUGCGAAGGCGGCUCUCUGGACCAGCACUGACACUGAGGCACGAAAGCGUGGGGAGCAAACAGG
RNAcentral lists this ribosomal RNA (253 nucleotides) under uncultured bacterium. Its description in RNAcentral is "partial 16S ribosomal RNA". It matches the Rfam family "Bacterial small subunit ribosomal RNA", at positions 524 to 776 of the family's 1533-position model. The record is from RNAcentral.